RNAcentral lists this ribosomal RNA (495 nucleotides) under uncultured bacterium. RNAcentral describes it as "partial 16S ribosomal RNA". It matches the Rfam family "Bacterial small subunit ribosomal RNA", at positions 28 to 505 of the family's 1533-position model. The record is from RNAcentral.
GAUGAACGCUGGCGGCGUGCCUAAUACAUGCAAGUCGAGCGAACGGACGAGAAGCUUGCUUUUCUGAUGUUAGCGGCGGACGGGUGAGUAACACGUGGAUAACCUACCUAUAAGACUGGGAUAACUUCGGGAAACCGGAGCUAAUACCGGAUAAUAUUUUGAACCGCAUGGUUCAAAAGUGAAAGACGGUCUUGCUGUCACUUAUAGAUGGAUCCGCGCUGCAUUAGCUAGUUGGUAAGGUAACGGCUUACCAAGGCAACGAUGCAUAGCCGACCUGAGAGGGUGAUCGGCCACACUGGAACUGAGACACGGUCCAGACUCCUACGGGAGGCAGCAGUAGGGAAUCUUCCGCAAGGGGCGAAAGCCUGACGGAGCAACGCCGCGUGAGUGAUGAAGGUCUUCGGAUCGGAAAACUCUGUUAUUAGGGAAGAACAUAUGUGUAAGUAACUGUGCACAUCUUGACGGUACCUAAUCAGAAAGCCACGGCUAACUACG